UUUUAUCAACCACAAAUUAUUUAAAAUAUAACUUCAUGAUUGAUUGCCUAAUUUGGAGAGAAAUAGUCUAUAAAAUAAAUUUCCGAAAGCAGUAAACGAGAAGAGCGAACUAAACAAUCCACCUUACAAUUAUAUAAACGAGAAAUAUAAGAAAUCGAGAAACCGGAAAAUAACACACAAAGCAUUCUAAACUCAUCUAGUAGAUUGGAUAAAGUGGGUCAUUCUUCAAGAGACUGCACCAUCGAAGACUAACUUCUAACAAUCUGUUUCAAAAGCCUUACAAUCAAUCCUUCUUGAAAGGAUAUUCUUCAUAACCCAAAUUAAAACUUUCAUCUCCGAGUGUAGGGAGGAGGGACACCUCCGAAGACACUUUGCACCAAGAAAGACCCUUUGAUCAUUUCCUUGAAAACACCCAAAGAUUUUCAUGAACCAUCAAUCUAGUAUAUUAGAGAUUGAAUUGGAUUAGCC
This 468-nucleotide small RNA is filed under the name Arabidopsis thaliana (thale cress). RNAcentral describes it as "ATSL058170". The record is from RNAcentral. Lineage: Eukaryota; Viridiplantae; Streptophyta; Magnoliopsida; Brassicales; Brassicaceae.